RNA transcript from Lolium perenne, 914 nucleotides. RefSeq lists it as uncharacterized. NCBI's taxonomy places the organism in Eukaryota, Viridiplantae, Streptophyta, Magnoliopsida, Poales, Poaceae. The record is from RefSeq and is a predicted model, not a curated record.
GGCUACCGCCCAACAGAAACCCACAACUCUGGGUCUUCUCUUCCGGCUGGUAGUCCCGCCGGCGCUUCUCCGCCUCCGCCGCCUUAGCCAAGCACGCCACUUCUCCCAUGGCUGCGGACUGGUCGUGGGCGCGCCGGGCGUGGGAGAAGUGGACCGAAAAGCACGUCGGCUCUUCCGGGAUGCCGGUCAAGGCGGCGCUGCUGCUCAACUACGACCCGACCGGACCAUCUCGCCUCCUCCCCAUCAUAGCAGAGCAAGAGGGGACGAGAUUUACUGCUGUUGAUCUACAACCAUUUACGGACUUCUUUAGAAGGAAUAAUCUGCAGACGGAAUUCUUCUCUAUUGGGCCGAACCAAUAUUUAGUCACCUCAAUCCAUGAGCACUGGUUUUGUGCGCGUUGCGUUAACACAACAAAACACGAAGGUGAAGGAAUUUUGGUUAUGAAGAUCGGAGCUUACUUAUUAGUCUCUAUGUAUGAUGGUUCACUUGGUUCGGCUUCACAGGCAAUGGUGGCUGUUGAUCAAUUUUCAUCGCACUUUAACCGGAGAACACAUUAACUGCCAACUUAUAUUAGCUUGAGGUUUAACAUGAACCUACUACAACUUGUUGUUUGGAAUCAUGGUCUUACUUUAUUAGUCUCUAUGUAUGAUGGUUCACUUGGUUCGGCUUCACAGGCAAUGGUGGCUGUUGAUCAAUUUUCAUCGCACUUUAACCGGAGAACACAUUAAUUGCCAACUUGUAUUAGCUAACAUGAACCUACAACUUAUUGUUUGGGAUCAUGGUCUUAGAAUGUAGUGUCUGACCUGACACAAUGCUAUCCAUAGGUUUUAGUGCAAUAACUAAGAUUCUCCUAAAUGUAGCUAAAUGUAAUCGUACAGUACUUCAUGGUCCUAUGAGAUCUAUUUUCUCCCAAA